Molecule: ribosomal RNA, 454 nt
Filed under: uncultured bacterium
Lineage: Bacteria
Description: partial 16S ribosomal RNA
Rfam family: Bacterial small subunit ribosomal RNA
Source: RNAcentral
GAUGAACGCUGACAGAAUGCUUAACACAUGCAAGUCAACUUGAACUUCGGUUUGGGUGGCGGACGGGUGAGUAACGCGUAAAGAACUUGCCUCACAGAUAGGGACAACAUUUGGAAACGAAUGCUAAUGCCUGAUAUUAUGAUUAUAUGGCAUCGUAUAAUUAUGAAAGCUAUAUGCGCUGUGAGAGAGCUUUGCGUCCCAUUAGCUAGUUGGAGAGGUAACGGCUCACCAAGGCGAUGAUGGGUAGCCGGCCUGAGAGGGUGAUCGGCCACAAGGGGACUGAGACACGGCCCUUACUCCUACGGGAGGCAGCAGUGGGGAAUAUUGGACAAUGGACCAAGAGUCUGAUCCAGCAAUUCUGUGUGCACGAUGAAGUUUUUCGGAAUGUAAAGUGCUUUCAGUUGGGAAGAAAAAAAUGACGGUACCAACAGAAGAAGUGACGGCUAAAUACGUG